This 140-nucleotide ribosomal RNA is filed under the name uncultured bacterium. RNAcentral's name for it is "partial 16S ribosomal RNA". It matches the Rfam family "Bacterial small subunit ribosomal RNA", at positions 355 to 510 of the family's 1533-position model. The record is from RNAcentral.
UGGGGAAUAUUGCACAAUGGGGGGAAACCCGUGAUGCAGCGACGCCGCGUGAAGGAAGAAGUAUCUCGGUAUGUAAACUUCUAUCAGCAGGGAAGAUAGUGACGGUACCUGACUAAGAAGCCCCGGCUAACUACGUGCCU